ACCGAAUAGAUACCCGGGUAGUCCUAGCCCUAAACGAUGAUCGCUUGGUGUGGCGGGUAUCCAAUCCCGCCGUGCCGCAGCUAAACGCGUUAAGCGAUCCGCCUGGGGAGUACGGUCGCAAGGCUGAAACUCAAAGGAGUUGACGGGGGCCCGCACAAGCGGUGGAGCAUGUGGUUUAAUUCGACGCAACGCGAAGAACCUUACCUGGGCUCGAAAUGGUGUGGACCGGGGUAGAAAUAUCCCUUCCCAGCAAUGGGUCGCACUAUAGGUGCUGCAUGGCUGUCGUCAGCUCGUGUCGUGAGAUGUUGGGUUAAGUCCCGCAACGAGCGCAACCCUUAUCUCCAGUUGCCAUCAUUUAGUUGGGCACUCUGGCGAAACCGCCUCGGAUAACGGGGAGGAAGGUGGGGAUGACGUCAAGUCCUCAUGGCCUUUAUGUCCAGGGCUACACACGUGCUACAAUGGCCGGUACAAACCGCUGCAAACCCGCGAGGGGUAGCUAAUCGGAAAAACGCCGGCCUCAGUUCGGAUCGCAGUCUGCAACCC
Molecule: ribosomal RNA, 543 nt
Filed under: uncultured bacterium
Lineage: Bacteria
Description: bacterial SSU rRNA
Rfam family: Bacterial small subunit ribosomal RNA
Source: RNAcentral